GAGUUUGAUCCUGGCUCAGGACGAACGCUGGCGGCGCGCCUAACACAUGCAAGUCGAACGAGCGAGAGAGAGCUUGCUUUCUCGAGCGAGUGGCGAACGGGUGAGUAACGCGUGAGGAACCUGCCUCAAAGAGGGGGACAACAGUUGGAAACGACUGCUAAUACCGCAUAAGCCCACAGCUCGGCAUCGAGCAGAGGGAAAAGGAGUGAUCCGCUUUGAGAUGGCCUCGCGUCCGAUUAGCUGGUUGGUGAGGUAACGGCCCACCAAGGCGACGAUCGGUAGCCGGACUGAGAGGUUGAACGGCCACAUUGGGACUGAGACACGGCCCAGACUCCUACGGGUGGCAGCAGUGGGGAAUAUUGCACAAUGGGGGAAACCCUGAUGCAGCGACGCCGCGUGGAGGAAGAAGGUCUUCGGAUUGUAAACUCCUGUUGUUGAGGAAGAUAAUGACGGUACUCAACAAGGAAGUGACGGCUAACUACGUGCCAGCAGCCGCGGUAAAACGUAGGUCACAAGCGUUGUCCGGAAUUACUGGGUGUAAAGGGAGCGCAGGCGGGAAAGCAAGUUGGAAGUGAAAUCCAUGGGCUCAACCCAUGAACUGCUUUCAAAACUGUUUUUCUUGAGUAGUGCAGAGGUAGGCGGAAUUCCCGGUGUAGCGGUGGAAUGCGUAGAUAUCGGAGGAACACCAGUGGCGAAGGCGGCCUACUGGGCACCAACUGACGCUGAGGCUCGAAAGUGUGGGUAGCANACAGGAUUAGAUACCCUGGUAGUCCACACUGUAAACGAUGAUUACUAGGUGUUGGAGGAUUGACCCCUUCAGUGCCGCAGUUAACACAAUAAGUAAUCCACCUGGGGAGUACGACCGCAAGGUUGAGACUCAAAGGAAUUGACGGGGGCCCGCACAAGCAGUGGAGUAUGUGGUUUAAUUCGACGCAACGCGAAGAACCUUACCAAGUCUUGACAUCCUGCGACGGUGCUGGAAACAGUACUUUCCUUCGGGACGCAGAGGCAGGUGGUGCAUGGUUGUCGUCAGCUCGUGUCGUGAGAUGUUGGGUUAAGUCCCGCAACGAGCGCAACCCUUAUGGUCAGUUACUACGCAAGAGGACUCUGGCCAGACUGCCGUUGACAAAACGGAGGAAGGUGGGGAUGACGUCAAAUCAUCAUGCCCUUUAUGACUUGGGCUACACACAUACUACAAUGGCGUUAAACAAAGAGAAGCGAGACCGCGAGGUGGAGCAAAACUCAGAAACAACGUCCCAGUUCGGACUGCAGGCUGCAACUCGCCUGCGCGAAGUCGGAAUUGCUAGUAAUCGCAGAUCAGCAUGCUGCGGUGAAUACGUUCCCGGGCCUUGUACACACCGCCCGUC
This 1367-nucleotide ribosomal RNA is filed under the name uncultured bacterium. RNAcentral's name for it is "bacterial SSU rRNA". It matches the Rfam family "Bacterial small subunit ribosomal RNA". The record is from RNAcentral.